UCACAGAAAUGGAGAGGGAGAGAUAUUGAAAAGUCAGGAUGCCUUAGCGACAGAUCCCUAAGUCUUCGGAACUUCAGGGCAGUACUGCCUGUGUGGGAACUCUCCCAUGUCUCCUUGAUUUCACGGCCACCUUUGCAGGCGCCCUCUCUCGUCUCGCCGCCAGCCCCCGCCUCCUUUCUCCGUAAGCUUGGGUCUCCCUGGGAGCGGGUCUGCCCUUGGGUGAGGCCUCUGGGCUCUGUGCCCUACAGCUCGGCCGACAUUCGGGGCAGACAGAAGCGGGGUUCGGCGCCCCCCGCGUGCACGUGUGCUAGCCCAGGCAGGAGGGAGCGCCUCGGCGGAGGAGUCAAGGAAGAGGGGAGGGAGAAACGCGCCAGAACCUCGGUCCCGGGCGCCCUGGUCGGCCGCGGAGGAGCUGCAGCCUCCAACAGGAAAGUGUGGUCCCUGCCAUGCUAUCUGCUCUGCUCACUGACUGAAGGCACCUGUAUCCCGGCUCUGCCAGGAAGCAAAGGUAAGGGCACUGCUCAUCACCAAACCCUGGAUAGUGUUCAGGACAUCCCUCACCCCUGGAGCCCUGAUGAAGGGGGCGCGUCUUCCCCUCUGUGAUUGCCAAGGACAAUCCUAAGAUGGAAUGAGAUGGAUCAGUGGGACAAUGUGAUGGAAUGGUGUUUACCUUGCAUUUGCAGAGCCAUUUACAACAGGGAAGCACUUUCUUGUGCAUCAUCUCAUUCAGUGCUCCCCAAAAAACCUGAGGUGGAUAGUAUUAUCCCCAGUUACAGAUGAGAAAGAUAAAGCUCAGUGAGGAGAGGACUUGCCCAAAGACACAUACCUGGUAGGUAGCUAAAGCUGAAUUCUAAGCUUUUUCAUGUCUGUAUCCCAGUGGCCUAUGCACAUUGUAGGUGCUUGGUACAUGUUUGAUGAAUGAAUGAGUGAACUGAUGAACUGCCCAAGAUGAAUGGAAAGGCAGGGCUGGGCUGGCACUUGGCUCUCUUGUCACUGUCAGAUCCUGUGCUCUGUCAGAUCUGCUGAGCCAUGGCUUCCUGCACUGAUGAGCUCAACAUCCCCCCUGCCACUCCCUCCGCAGCCCAGUAUCCAAAGCAGCUUGUGGGUGGAGCAGUCAACCUCAGCUCCUCUUCCAGGUGGCCAGCCAAGCUCAGAUCACACCCGGCGUCCCUCAUCCACCUCUCCUCUUCCCCGCCACCCACAUGACCAGUAAUCCAGUGUGCAUAGUUGUAAACUUGUUUCUUUAAAUAAACAGUCUUGAGUUUCAUACCAAAUAGUCUCUUAAGAGGAGGAACGUCUCCAGGCCACCUCGUAUUUAGCAUACAGUGAGCCACAUAUUUGCACAGAGAGAGUGUAUGUGGAUAUAGAGAUCGCUCAAUCGCUAUAGAUAUCAUUGCUCAUCCAGAUGGGAGCUAUUUAUGAUGCUGAGUCAUUCACAGAGAAUGCCACUGAGGAAUUCCAGGCUGGGCUCUGAGCCCCAGCGUCACAGACCUCAUGGCUCUCUGCCUCGGCUUCACUGUUCACAAAUGAGAGGUGGGAGGGGGGGUCCCCCAUCACAGAGCUGGGACAGAAGGGAACAUUUUGGCCACAGGAAAUGAAGACUUGCUCAUAAGCAGUUCUUGGUGUAAGUCAUCCUCCUCCAUCCAGAGCACUGCACCCUUAGGGAUUAUCUUUUCCAAUUCCUUCAUUGUAUAGGAAAGAAAACUGAGACCCAGAGUGGGGAGGGACUAGCCCGGUGUCACACAGAGAGUCGGGGACAAAGCUGGUGCUAAAACCCAGACCUUCUGGCUGCUGUCUGGGGUUUCCACAUUCCCAGCAACCUUCUUCAGGUUUUGUCUCCAAUGUCUUGGCAUUUCCUCUCCCUGAGGAGCUUCUCAUCUUCCAAAAUGUGGAGUUGUCACUGAGCGCUUGCACCUUUGGGCUCUCCCAGGACGAGGGCUGAAUCCAGCUUGUUUGGGUACUCCAGCCCCAUGCUUAGUGCAAGACUCGCACACACUGGGUGCUCAAUGCGUGUGUACUGAGUGUUAUAUAAGCCCAAACUCAGUACCAAUUCCCGGGAAACCCAUUUGGAAAAGCACCCAUCUAUCUCCACCCUCUCUUUCUUGUCUCUAAGCCAGUUCCCUAUCCAUGCAAAAAUAGACUCCCUCCCACUCACCACCCACCUCUGUCCAAUUCUAUAAUGAAUCAAUUUUAUUAAUAGGCUUUGGGAUGGAAACUUGACAAAGGCUUUUUGUGAAAGUCUUGCUUUAUCUCCCUAUAUAGUUCACUUCUCAAAGAAUUCUAAUAAACUGGUCAGGUGGGAUUUCAUCUUACAUAAAAUAUUCAUCAAUCCACUCUUUCCCUCCAUAUAGAAUGUGUUAGUUUAAGCAUUCAGUGAUCUCUAUCCUGUGUUAUAGAUUCUAUUCAAUUGUUCUAAGAGGCAGUGGGAUGAGAUGGAAAGAGCCCUUGGAAUAGGGCCAGGUUGAAAUCCAGUUGGCCCCUUACUGGUUUUGCAUUCAUACUGAUUACUCUGAUGAUUAAAUGAAAUAAUAUCUGUAAGGGGGAUGGCGCAUAUUAAGGUCUCGAU
RNAcentral lists this long non-coding RNA (2566 nucleotides) under Callithrix jacchus (white-tufted-ear marmoset). RNAcentral's name for it is "lncRNA (ENSCJAG00000076692.1)". Lineage: Eukaryota; Metazoa; Chordata; Mammalia; Primates; Cebidae. The record is from RNAcentral.